CGGCGGACGGGUGAGUAACGCGUGGGUAACCUGCCUCAUACAGGGGGAUAACAGUUAGAAAUGGCUGCUAAUACCGCAUAAGACCACAGUACUGCAUGGUACAGUGGUAAAAACUCCGGUGGUAUGAGAUGGACCCGCGUCUGAUUAGGUAGUUGGUGAGGUAACGGCCCACCAAGCCGACGAUCGGUAGCCGACCUGAGAGGGUGACCGGCCACAUUGGGACUGAGACACGGCCCAG
This 238-nucleotide ribosomal RNA is filed under the name uncultured bacterium. RNAcentral's name for it is "partial 16S ribosomal RNA". It matches the Rfam family "Bacterial small subunit ribosomal RNA", at positions 96 to 334 of the family's 1533-position model. The record is from RNAcentral.